RNAcentral lists this non-coding RNA (30 nucleotides) under Actinoplanes sp. SE50/110. The record is from RNAcentral. Lineage: Bacteria; Bacillati; Actinomycetota; Actinomycetes; Micromonosporales; Micromonosporaceae.
GUCCGGGUCGACAUCGUGCAGACGGCUCCA